Molecule: transfer RNA, 72 nt
Filed under: Camelus bactrianus (Bactrian camel)
Lineage: Eukaryota; Metazoa; Chordata; Mammalia; Artiodactyla; Camelidae
Also listed under: 1 other name
Rfam family: tRNA
About the family: Transfer RNA (tRNA) molecules are approximately 80 nucleotides in length.
Source: Rfam by way of RNAcentral
GUGGGAAUAGCUCAGUGGUAGAGUGUGUGCUUAGCAAGCAGAAGGUCCUGGGUUCAAUCCCCAGUACCUCCA